CGGCUCCCUCUCUCCCUCACAUCGACAAGUGGGACCGUGGGACCCACCUGUCAGGUCCAUCCCCAACCUCCAUCCAAGCCAGCCGGCAACUGCCGAAGCCGCCAUGGACGGCCGUUGCCGCCCACGUCGCCGCCGAUUCCGGGUCCUCCCGCUCACGCCCUCGCGCCCAAACCGCAUAAAAUCGAUUCCCCUCCACCUCCUCUACUGCUCUACACUCUCCCUACGUUUCCCCCAAAAAUCGUGCCGGGAUAGAGCUCCACUUCGCCCACGAUUUCACCCACGUCGCCGGCCGUUGCCGCCCAAAUCCGCCACGCCCGGCAACGGUUUUCCCUCCCCAAGCAUGUAAAAUCCAUCCCCGGGCUCCCUUCUCUCGUUUCCCCCCCUUGCCGGCGCUUCCCUCGCCUUCUCCCGCUCUCCCCACGCCGCUCCCCAUCGCUGCCGCUUGCCAGCGACCUUCAGUCGGCCGCUGCCGCCGCGCUAGUCGUCGCCGCACCUCGCCGCCGGCACCGGCGGCUUCACUGCAUCAAGCCCCACCCUGGCCGCUGCUCUGCUCCUCCAAACCACCACCCAAACGCCCCCUCCCCGUGCAUCCGAGCCGCCACCACCUCUGCCACGCUCCAGCCGCCCGCCACAGCCGCUGUAACCACCACCGCCACCUGCAGCUUCGCCGCACCGCGUAGCACCCCGUCCUCCACUCCUUUUACCCCUCGUCGCCACCGAAACGCCGCCCCACUACAAAACCGAGCCACCGUCGCCUCCCUCGGCUCCGCAAGGACGAGGAGAACCUGGGCCAUCCCUUCCCAUCGCCAGAAACUCACUGGACGUCCGUUUUCCCGUGCGCCGCCGCUGCUCGUCCACUCCGUCCCGAGCGCCGCCCGUCGCCGGAGUGCCGCCGUCUCCCUCCGCCCUGAGCUUCGCCGGCCGCCUCCCUCCAUCGCCAUACCCCACGCGAGUAGAUUCCGUCGUUUCGGAAGUCCACAGUCUUAAGGAUAAGAGUUCGGAAGAUUGUUCGAAGAAGCAAGGCAAGUCACACAUUCUCCUUGAGUAUAUUGAGCCUAUUUUUUUAAUGUUUUACCGUUUGCAAAUAAAUAUGCAUGUUUUGCUAAUUACAUGGGAUCAGGGUUUACCUACCUGCUCGCUUGUGCCGUGUUUACUUGAUGUAUGUCCUUUGUCGACCUUGGGUGAUAAAUCGGCUAGCUGUUGUUACUUAUGUUGACAUAGCUAGAACUAUAUGCUUAGCCAUGCUUAAUUACCACUAGCUCACUUGAUGGGAUAAUUACAAUUUUAGACAUCUAGUAUCUUGACGAGUUGUGUGCUCGA
This is a long non-coding RNA of Oryza sativa Japonica Group (Japanese rice), 1320 nucleotides long. RefSeq lists it as uncharacterized. The record is from RefSeq and is a predicted model, not a curated record. NCBI's taxonomy places the organism in Eukaryota, Viridiplantae, Streptophyta, Magnoliopsida, Poales, Poaceae.